UAGGGAAUCUUCCACAAUGGACGCAAGUCUGAUGGAGCAACGCCGCGCGAGUGAAGAAGGUCUUCGGAUCGUAAAACUCUGUUGUUAGAGAAGAACACGAGUGAGAGUAACUGUUCAUUCGAUGACGGUAUCUAACCAGCAAGUCACGGCUAACUACGUGCGAG
This 164-nucleotide ribosomal RNA is filed under the name uncultured bacterium. RNAcentral's name for it is "partial 16S rRNA". It matches the Rfam family "Bacterial small subunit ribosomal RNA", at positions 355 to 511 of the family's 1533-position model. The record is from RNAcentral.